Long non-coding RNA from Capra hircus (goat), 2091 nucleotides. NCBI's taxonomy places the organism in Eukaryota, Metazoa, Chordata, Mammalia, Artiodactyla, Bovidae. The record is from Ensembl.
CUCACUUCCAUAAAGAAGCACGCAGAGCCCGGCUGUGAAGAUAAUAUGGUUAGGCUACACUGCUUUAGAGACAGAGAGGAAGAAGGAAAACAACUCUUUGCCUUGGAUGCAAAUAAACUCAGCUUCACCUUUAAAGCUGAAAACCUGUGCCCUUGGCAAGACGUCUGGGGACCGUUCCAGAGCUUGACCAGCAGAAAGUAUUCCAUUUGCACGACGACACUGGAUUUGUGUGUGUGGGUCUUUAGCCAGAGUACUCCUCCUCGGUUUGGGCAGAAUUUUUUUAUAAGCCUAUUGGGUCUGUGGCGGGGGAGUGGCAGGAACAUCAGUGGCCUCUUCAACACUGGUCACGUUCCCCGUUAAUAUCCUGCAGAAAGGGCCACAGGCCAGGAGAGGGGAACCCCAGUCACGCUUGCCUGUCUUCUGUCCCUGGCUGUCAAAUGCCAGCUCCACGGGCAGCAACGAUGGCUCCCAAGCUUCCGCACCAAGGGCUCCCAGUAGGAGGGAGCGGUGCCUUAGCCAGAGGAAGGGCAACACCCGAGUUGAGCCUGCUUCUCAUAUUUCCCAAAUGGGUUGAAAGCCAAGCCAAGCAGCUCCAAGGAGACCAUGCAAGAGACCACAGUCGUGGAUCCAAAGACACAUCGACUCAUGCUCAUAGCUCAACAGCUCCCAUUUCAAACCUGGAAGCAGAGCCUGCCCCUGAAUCAUAAAGCCUCUAAAACUCUGGCUCAUCCAAGCAGGACUAGGAUUAGAACAGUCAGAGGAAACUUUCAAGAGGGAGUCAAAAGUAAAUCCUCACAUAGCAAUACCUUCCUCCUUCCUUCACAAAAGGUGACAGGAGAUUCUUCCUUCAGAAUUCCCACUAGAAGACUGAGGUGGAAUUUUCCAUCACCCCUGUGAGCCAUUACAUGUCCAGAAGUUGAGAAAGGACAAAAGCUAUUAACAUUUCCUAGCCUAAUAUUCUCCCUGGUGGCUCAGAUGGUAAAGAGUCUGCCUGCAAUGCAAGAGACCUGGGUUCGAUCCCUGGGUCAGGAAGAUCCCUGGAGAAAGAAAUAGCAGCCCACUUCAGCAUUCUUGCCUGGAGAAUUCCAUGGACAGAGGAGGCUGGUGGACUACAGUCCAUGGGGUCACAAAGAGUUGGACAUUACUGAGCAACUUUCACUUUCAGCCUGAUACUCUGUUUUCAUAUCAUGAAGCCCACAGGUUUGAUCUUUUUGUUUGUUGUAACAGACUUUGUGUUGGUGUCAGACUUUCUAAGAUGGUGUCAUGGGCAGCCCCCAACCAAACACUACAGGACUGUACAGUUAGUAAGGCCAGAGUGGGAUUCACAUCUUGCCUGUUGAAGUGGUUUUGCAUGGACAUCUCUGCAGGAAAGGACCUAUUUUUUGUCAUUUCCACGUAGAGGUAGGACUAGACCGCCAUGUUAUACAUUUAGUGGGCCUUCCCAGUGUGGUCUUUAUAAGAAAAGAAUGUCAAGAAGACCUCUUGAAAUAAAAACAAAAGAACAUUCCUCCAAGGGGGCUCAUUCCUGAUUCAGAAACAAACCAGGGAGAUCCUUAGGUCAGCUUAGAAAAGGACUUGAACAGAGUGACGCUGGAGACCUGGUCUGUUCUCAAGCAAAGACAAAAGCCAUUGCCCUGAGUCCUGCCAAGGGCCUUUUCUUCGUUUUAUUCCUGCUCCUAUGCAGCCCGAGUCUUCAGAACUCCCUCCCCUAUUUCCUGGUGGAGUCCCAUAAGUGUGUAUUGAAUAUUGACUGAAUCUUCCCUGAAUCUCCUUGCCCUGGGGCAAUUAGAGUUGAAUUAUAUACACCCAAGCUAGGCUACAAAUUAAAAAUUACUUUUCAUUUAUCUCUGUGAGAAGAAACCAGAAAUGAGCAAAUAUGAGAUUAAUAUAUGUGAAGGAGGAUACGGUUUCUGCUUUAUGUGGUGAUAAGCCCCUUUUUUCCUUUUCAUACUAAUUAUUAUUAUCAUUAUUAGUAUUAUUUUACCCCUCAAUUGCCUUAGGAUGUUAUCCAAGAGGAAGCACUGUAUCGGCUGGUGAAAGCUCCACAGUAUUAUUUAUUUCAUGUAAUAAAAUGUAUGUAAUGAUCAUGAU